This is a long non-coding RNA of Vigna unguiculata (cowpea), 521 nucleotides long. RefSeq lists it as uncharacterized. The record is from RefSeq and is a predicted model, not a curated record. Lineage: Eukaryota; Viridiplantae; Streptophyta; Magnoliopsida; Fabales; Fabaceae.
CUUCCCUCCAUUUUGUGAUUCUAAAAUCGCGAAAGUUCCAAAACUGCAAGGAGCUCAUUAUCAUGUCGUCGUCGUCUCCCUGUCAUCUUUCUUCGUCGCCUUCUUACCGAUCGCCAUUGACACCCUCUGAUUGUCGCCCAGGCAACUCUUCGUCGCCUUCUCAUCGUGGUCGGACAUAGUUCCUAAAAUGCUUUGGUCUAGUUACUGCACAUUAUACCAAAAUUCAGUGAAGGAUUUGACUGAGCUUGGGGAAUGCUAGUAUGACCAAGGUUCCACUUGACUACAGUGGGAAAAGAGGAGCCACUCUUACUGUAACCAAGGAAAAGAGAAUUAAGCGAGUUUAAUUAGUUGGACUUUUUAAAGCCUGACGAUGGUUUGUGUUGCAUCCUUUAUUGAGUUAGAGUUACACUUGUAUCAUAAUCUGUAGGAAUGCAAAGGAGAUCCUUUAAAAGGAGAUUAUUCUUUUUCAUAUACUGUGUUUUCAUUUUGAUAAUAUGGGGAAUAUUUAUGAUACUAUCAUU